This 253-nucleotide ribosomal RNA is filed under the name uncultured bacterium. RNAcentral describes it as "partial 16S ribosomal RNA". It matches the Rfam family "Bacterial small subunit ribosomal RNA", at positions 524 to 776 of the family's 1533-position model. The record is from RNAcentral.
UACGUAGGGUGCAAGCGUUGUCCGGAAUUAUUGGGCGUAAAGAGCUCGUAGGCGGUCUGUUGCGUCGGCUGUGAAAACCCGAGGCUCAACCUCGGGCCUGCAGCCGAUACGGGCAGACUAGAGUUCGGCAGGGGAGACUGGAAUUCCUGGUGUAGCGGUGAAAUGCGCAGAUAUCAGGAGGAACACCGGUGGCGAAGGCAGGUCUCUGGGCCGAUACUGACGCUGAGGAGCGAAAGCGUGGGGAGCGAACAGG